AGCAGCCGCGGUAAUUCCAGCUCCAAUAGCGUAUAUUAAAGUUGCUGCAGUUAAAAGCUCGUAGUUGAAUUUCGGGACUAAUAUGUCGGUCGUGCCUCGGUACGUACUGGUUUAUUGGUUUCUCCUUUCUGAAGAACCAUGAUGUCAUUUAUUUGGUGUCGUGGGGAAUCAGGACUGUUACUUUGAAAAAUUAGAGUGUUUAAAGCAGGCUCACGCUUGAAUACAUUAGCAUGGAAUAAUGAAAUAGGACGUUUGAUUCUAUUUUGUUGGUUUCUAGGAUCGACGUAAUGAUUAAUAGGGAUAGUUGGGGGCAUUAGUAUUCAAUUGUCAGAGGUGAAAUUCUUGGAUUUAUUGAAGACUAACUACUGCGAAAGCAUUUGCCAAGGAUGUUUUCAUUAAUCAAGAACGAAAGUUAGGGAUCGAAGACGAUCAGAUACCGUCGUAGUCUUAACCAUAAACUAUGCCGACUAGGGAUCGGAUGAUGUUUAAUUUUUUAAUGUACUCAUUCGGCGCCUUAAC
Molecule: unclassified non-coding RNA, 519 nt
Filed under: uncultured Glomus
Lineage: Eukaryota; Fungi; Glomeromycota; Glomeromycetes; Glomerales; Glomeraceae
Description: SSU rRNA
Rfam family: Eukaryotic small subunit ribosomal RNA
Source: RNAcentral